AGGUGGCGAAGCAUCCUCCAAGUGGAAGGAAACCACCAAUCAGUGUGCGCGUCUCUACGCGAGGCAACAUGUUCUGUUUUAGUGGUUUUGGUCGUCAUAGCGAGGCGAAGUGUUUGGCAAUUUGUAUCCCAAGUCAGGAGUUUGUGAGCCUUGCGAUGACUCGAGGGUUGAGUGGUGUGUGUCCCUCC
This is a long non-coding RNA of Dioscorea cayenensis subsp. rotundata (Guinea yam), 188 nucleotides long. RefSeq lists it as uncharacterized. The transcript has 3 exons. Lineage: Eukaryota; Viridiplantae; Streptophyta; Magnoliopsida; Dioscoreales; Dioscoreaceae. The record is from RefSeq and is a predicted model, not a curated record.